This is a long non-coding RNA of Columba livia (rock pigeon), 1078 nucleotides long. RefSeq lists it as uncharacterized. The transcript is spliced from 4 exons. NCBI's taxonomy places the organism in Eukaryota, Metazoa, Chordata, Aves, Columbiformes, Columbidae. The record is from RefSeq and is a predicted model, not a curated record.
GGGUGAAGGGAGCAGGAGGAGCAGGACCCCCGGUCAAUAGACAGGGUCCUCAGCCAAUGAGGUGUCCAGACCCAGAGAAGCUUCUGGCCCACGCUCGUGAUGGUCACAGCCAAGUCCAACCGGGCCUUCUUGGAGCAGCAGGACUGUGACGGGAGCCCUCCCCUUGGAGGAGGGACGCCGUCUAAGGACACUUACAGGGACUGAGAGCCCUCACCUGCUCCUUGCUGCAGGGCCAAGUGGACCCAAGGGCAACCUAACAGAGAGGAAAAAGGCCUAACAUAACAUCAAAGAGGCUAAAAGCCCGGGUGGAUUGCAUUUCAUCAGUACGGGAUCACUUCAGGCACACUGGGGGUUGGAGAGCAGUACCUAUGGAGCGGUAAAAGAAGAGAUAUGAAGGGUGAGAAGCGGUUUGUUGUUUCUGUUGCUUUCCCCAGUACAAUCAAAGGAAAGCAAAGUUUGGGACUUGGCAGCAUUGUGGUUGCCCCAGCUACUACCAUGCCAUUCUCUUACAAGCUGAGAGGGGGAAAAAUGUGUGUAUUUUCAAAACAUUCCUCUUUUCCUGCCUAUGAAGAAUAACAGAAUUAUAUUUUUUUUUUUCCUUUAAAUGAAAAUACCUCCAGUAGUGACUUCUGUGAUCCAUUUCUUUAAUUAGUCAUCAAUCAAGAGGUCCAUAUCCAAAUUUGAAGACAACUUGAAUGGAAGGACAGUUAGAAUAGUCCCCAGGAAACCAGAACCUGAAGGACCAUCUUGCCAAGAAGAGCCUCUGCUGUGGCUGAUGCAAGGAGGAAAGUCAAAGAAGGCAGGAGUCUGAGUGAAUGUAUUUGAAAAUGAAAAGGGGGAAAAAAAUAAAAAGAAAAAAGCAAGAGGUAUUGAUAGAAAACAGUUUUCAGUAUUCACCAGCUCUCCUCUCCUCAUCACUUCAGUCCAGGGCUUUGGAAUAGACCCAGCGGAGGGCAGCCUCCUAUCCACGUUUCUGACAGACGGGGCAUGAUGCUCACCUUUCCUGCCAUCUAGUUUGUGUUUUGACAAUUCAGUAUGGAAACUCUAGCAAAUGUAUGCAGAGAGCGAAGAUCCCCAG